Non-coding RNA from Ornithorhynchus anatinus (platypus), 72 nucleotides. Lineage: Eukaryota; Metazoa; Chordata; Mammalia; Monotremata; Ornithorhynchidae. The record is from Rfam.
AGCAGCGUGGCCCAGUGGAAAGAGCAUGGGCUUGGGAGUCAGAGGUUGUGGGUUCGAAUCCCAUCUCUGCCA